CCUACGGGUGACAGCAGUGAGGAAUAUUGGUCAAUGGGCGCGAGCCUGAACCAGCCAAGUAGCGUGAAGGAUGACUGCCCUACGGGUUGUAAACUUCUUUUAUAAAGGAAUAAAGUGAGGCACGUGUGCCUUUUUGUAUGUACUUUAUGAAUAAGCAUCGGCUAACUCCGUGCCAGCAGCCGCGGUAAUACGGAGGAUCCGAGCGUUAUCCGGAUUUAUUGGGUUUAAAGGGUGCGUAGAGGGGUUGUUAAGUCAGUUGUGAAAGGUUGCGGCUCAACCGUAAAAUUGCAAUUGAAACUGGCAGUCUUGAGUACAGAUGAGGUAGGCGGAAUGCGUGGUGUAGCGGUGAAAUGCUUAGAUAUCACGAAGAACUCCGAUUGCGAAGGCAGCAUACUAAACUGCCACUGACAUUGAUGCACGAAAGUGUGGGUAUCAAACAGGAUUAGAUACCCCAGUAGUC
Molecule: ribosomal RNA, 460 nt
Filed under: uncultured bacterium
Lineage: Bacteria
Description: partial 16S ribosomal RNA
Rfam family: Bacterial small subunit ribosomal RNA
Source: RNAcentral